AUAGCCAACAAAUUAAUCUUUCGCCAAUCAGGACAAGGGUUUAAUAAGUAAAAAGAAAUGUUAUUAUCUCUUCUGUAAAUACACAAGAUUAGUGCAAGCUCUCAUAAAUUUGUUUACUGUAAAGAAUGAGAUUAGUUUCUUAUUAUUGAUAGACCUGAUCCAUGAUAACUAUCCCAUAGUCCUGGACAAAGGUAAUUUGAGCUCAGAUAUCUGAACCCUGCCUGCUUGUGCUUGGAACAUAGAAGCCAGUUUGGAAACCUUGUCCAUCUAAUGGCACUUGGGGUGUAAUUUCAGGAGGAGGCAUCACUACUUACCAGGGGCUCCAUCUUCAACAGCUCAGUCACCAGGAGCCUUUCUCACGAUUUCACUCACAGCCAAUCCAAGCACAAGGCAGGUCAAUCUGAGGAUGAAGAAGAAGCCUUGAGACUCCAGACUUCCAGACCCAUCAGAAUUCAAGCCCCAACCUUCACCUGGACAUGACCCCCAGCCCCUCAAACCGAAAUAAGUGAUGCACCCUAAGAAUCUUCUCUGCAGGAUCACAGGUCACCUCUGGUGUCCAGGAAAUGUUGAUACUGGCCUGGAAGUCCUGAAGAAAGUGACCACCUCUCUCGGGCAACUGCAGAACUUUGUAAGUACUCCAGGGAAUCUUGGAAUUUUGUGGAAUUUAAUUCAUUGGGAUAUAGCCAAUGAUUUUUCUUAUGAUCACAUUGGCUUUUGUGUUUUAUUGUUUGUUGGGUUUUUAAAAUAAUUUUUAAAAUUAUUUAUUUUUGGCUGUGCUGGGUCUUUGUUACUAUAUGUACUUUUCUCUAGUUGUUGCGAGAUGGAGCUACUCUUUACUUGCGGUGUGAGGGCUUCUCAUUGCUGAGGCAUCUCUUGUUGCCAAACACAGGCUCUACAGCAUUCAGACUUCAGCAGUUGUGGCCUGUGAGCUUGGUUGCUCUGUGGCAUGUAGGAUCUUCCUGGACUGGGGAUAGAACAAAUUCUUUACCACUAAGCCACCUGGAAGCCCCUGUUUGUUGGAUUUUUAUUUAAUUUGUUUUUUGAGAAAGAUGGCAGAGGUACCAUCCACCAUUCUCAUCAUUUCAUUUCAAGGCUACAAGUCUGAAACGACUUAAUACUAGGAUACUAGUGUUGUUAGUCCAGCUACUUAGAUUAGAUUUCUCCAGUGUAAAGUUAUGCUUAUAUCAUGUCCAAAAAUGUGUUGUUUUGGAAGAAUUUCACUACGUACAGCCUUUGAGGCGUGGAGAGUUAUGCUCCACCUCCUUGAUUGCUGAUAUCCACAUAAAUUAUCAGGAAUUCCUCUCCACGGGAGAUUUGUACUGUCCUCCAAUUUGUU
Molecule: long non-coding RNA, 1336 nt
Filed under: Bos grunniens (domestic yak)
Lineage: Eukaryota; Metazoa; Chordata; Mammalia; Artiodactyla; Bovidae
Description: lncRNA (ENSBGRG00000021568.1)
Source: RNAcentral